RNAcentral lists this ribosomal RNA (301 nucleotides) under uncultured bacterium. RNAcentral's name for it is "partial 16S ribosomal RNA". It matches the Rfam family "Bacterial small subunit ribosomal RNA", at positions 509 to 807 of the family's 1533-position model. The record is from RNAcentral.
CAGUCGCCGCGGUAAUACGUAGGGUGCGAGCGUUAAUCGGAAUUACUGGGCGUGAAGCGUGCGCAGGCGGUGAUGUAAGACAGUUGUGAAAUCCCCGGGCUCAACCUGGGAACUGCAUCUGUGACUGCAUCGCUGGAGUGCGGCAGAGGGGGAUGGAAUUCCGCGUGUAGCAGUGAAAUGCGUAGAUAUGCGGAGGAACACCGAUGGCGAAGGCAAUCCCCUGGGCCUGCACUGACGCUCAUGCACGAAAGCGUGGGGAGCAAACAGGAUUAGAUACCCGGGUAGUCCCUGUCUCUUAUAC